UGGCUAUUUCUGUGUUGUGGCUGCGCAUCCCCGCGCACCACGACACCGGAAAAGGCGCGAGGCAAGAGGGAAUCCGGUGAGAAUCCGGAACUGCCCCGCAGCGGUGAGAGAGAACGACAAGCGGCAGAAGCACUGGCCCCCAGCCGGGAAGCGCCGCCCAGUAGGACCACCGGGAACACCCCGGAACGCUCUCCAGUCCGAAGACCUGCCGACACCCGGGGCAACCA
This 227-nucleotide non-coding RNA is filed under the name Austwickia chelonae. Lineage: Bacteria; Bacillati; Actinomycetota; Actinomycetes; Micrococcales; Dermatophilaceae. RNAcentral also lists the same sequence under 1 other name. The record is from RNAcentral.